GGCGCGCGCGCCGCUUCCGCCGGCGCAGCUCGGCAGCACCUCGGGGAUCCAGCGCACGCAGCCCGGGGGUGGGGCCGCAAGGGGGGCCGGAGCGGGGCUGCAGUCUCGGCAGGGCCGCAUCGGUUGUCAAGGGAACGGCGGCCUAAGUAGGUGUGACGUCAGCGGGCGGAGAGUUGGCCGCAAUGCGGCGAGGGGCGGAUUCCCGGAGCCUGGAUUUCAGGCGGCAGCCUGGGGUGUGUGGCCGCUGAGCUGCCAGCCCGCCCCUGCUGGGCUGGCAAGCUGCUUCGCCCAGCCCGGCGUCGGCUCCAGUGGGACGGGCUGUCGGCCGCCCUGCGCUCUCCUCCCUGAUGUCAACCUGGUGCUGAUAGUGAACCUGUGAAAGCCUUCUUAUUUACAUCUGAGAAAAGGUUUCUGCCCCUCCAUAAACAGCUUUGCAUAUGUGACUUCCUGAUGGCAGACCCAGCGAACUCUCUUCAGAACUUGCAGCAACUCUUGGUACUGCACAGUGUACAUCACCUCUUUCCUAAAACCCUUUUCCCUUUGGUUACUUCUCCCAAUUUACCACCUGCCCCUCCGAUGUAUUUUUACUUUAUUUUGUGGGCUCCCAGAGUUCUGUAUUUAGCACUUCUUUUUCUUGCAACCA
This is a long non-coding RNA of Phyllostomus discolor (pale spear-nosed bat), 643 nucleotides long. RefSeq lists it as uncharacterized. The transcript is spliced from 3 exons. NCBI's taxonomy places the organism in Eukaryota, Metazoa, Chordata, Mammalia, Chiroptera, Phyllostomidae. The record is from RefSeq and is a predicted model, not a curated record.